Molecule: long non-coding RNA, 773 nt
Organism: Saccoglossus kowalevskii
Lineage: Eukaryota; Metazoa; Hemichordata; Enteropneusta; Harrimaniidae
Source: RefSeq, a predicted model, not a curated record
AGUUCGGAAUGCUUAUCCCCAGUAUCAUGUAGCAUAUCACGGUACCAAAUCUGAAAACCUCAAAGAUAUACUACUUACCCAGCGGCUUCUCAUACCAGGUGACACCGCUCCCUCCGGUCAAAUUGUAAAUGAGAGAGAAUUCCAUAUUCCAGCUUGUAACCAAUUUGGUUUCAACACGAAGCAAAUAUUUGUGUCCCCUAGUAUAUUAUACGCUGGGAAUCCCACAUAUGCCACACCUAAAAAAUGGUACGAUUGUAUAAGUCACCGGGUAUACAACGCGAGUGUAGCGUUACAAGUAUGGAUUCGCCCAUUCAGCUAUGCAGUAGGAAGACAUACUCUGGCAGGAGCGUAUGGAAUCGACCCAUUCUUCAGUGAUGACACAUUAGAGUGGUCGACGACGAAUAGAUGGGAUGUUAUACCAUACGGAUUACUGGUGAAAAUUAGCUAAAUGGUUUAGGUUAGGUUAGUCUACAUAUAAAAAAUGCUAAAUACUGAGUUGAGAUGUGAACGACAGUAGUAACGUCAAAAUAAUGGGGAUACGUGGAAUGUUGAUUAAAAAAAUCAAAACUAGCAAUUACUAACCACUUAUAAUGUGUAGGCAAAUACAGGAUAUGCAACCAUAUAUAUUAUUUGUUAGACGUACUUAAAAUGACCAUUCAUUAUUUUUAUUUCUAGCCUGAGACCGCUGAACAAAGGUUAGAGUAGGUCGACAGUGACAUUACUUUUACUGACUUUGAUAAGCAGCUCAUCUCUCCUCCCUCUGUUUUCCUUUU